This 206-nucleotide long non-coding RNA is filed under the name Elaeis guineensis (African oil palm). Its description in RNAcentral is "long non-coding RNA (EGUI_LNC034626)". Lineage: Eukaryota; Viridiplantae; Streptophyta; Magnoliopsida; Arecales; Arecaceae. The record is from RNAcentral.
GGGUGUUGGACUCUAGUUCGAGUGUUCAUAUAUGUACUUCAAUGCAGAAUCUAAUAGAAAGUAGGAGGUUGAGGAAAAGUGAAAAAAUCUUUCGGAUUGACAAUGGAGCAAAAGUUACUGCAGAAGUCAUUGGCACUUAUCCUCUUCGAUUAUCGUUAGAAUUUAGAUUAGAUUUAAAAGACUAUUAUUUUAUUCCUGUAGCUAGU